This is an RNA transcript of Camponotus floridanus (Florida carpenter ant), 2220 nucleotides long. It is a transcript of the gene named ubiquinone biosynthesis protein COQ9, mitochondrial, with no coding region annotated. The record is from RefSeq and is a predicted model, not a curated record. The transcript is spliced from 3 exons. Lineage: Eukaryota; Metazoa; Arthropoda; Insecta; Hymenoptera; Formicidae.
GAAUUCUUGCCCCUAGUAUGUUGAAAUAAUUCUUUGCCUUGUCAGUUGCUGGCUAUCGAUUCUCGCUAUCUUCUCUCUCUUUCUCAUUUCUUUCGCAUUUAUUUAUUUUCUUCCCAGGUUUCAAUCGCUAUCAUAGGCUGCGGUCGGGAAGACGCUCUGGAUGCUUUGAAACAUCAUUCUAUCUUUGUUCUACAUUCCAUGAGAAUAAAGAUAGAAUGAUGUUUCAAAGCAUCCAGAGCGUCUUUCCGAUCAGCCAUAAUCACUCGUCGAUUGCAAUCAAGUUUCGUAAAGUCACGCUGAUAAUUUUUUGCUUGCGUCCAAUAUUGUGCGUGGUUAUUUAUGUUCAAAAAAUUUCUUUCAUAAUCGGAAAAAAUGUCGCAAAUAUUCGUCAAACGCUUCACCGGUUUCCUGGAGGAUCAUAAACCCGAGGAAGCUCUGAGACUUUUCACGACAGAGAGCAAUAAAGUGAUCGAGGAUUCUGUAAGUGAGAUUGUGUCGAUUACCGCUACUUAUCUCACGGAAUCUAAUUUGCAAUCUGAGCAAGAAUUAUUUGAAUGCUGCAAGAAUGUGUUAAAUGUCAUAGCCAAGAAGUGUAAUCCCAUGGAAACUGUAUUGGAGUUCCUAGAACAGAUAGAAUGUUUGAAUAACGAUAUCAAAUUUUGUGCCAUUUUGGAACCAUUAGGUAUAUGUAUGAUGAAAAUGCAGGAUAAGAGUAAGGCUAUCGAAUGGUGCAUCAAUACCAUCAAAUCAUACAUCGAGGAUUUAACAUCGUUACAUGAUGCUGAUAGUGAUAGAAUUGUGAAUGUAUAUAGAAGAAUUAUAUUAUUCUUGGAACCAUUAGUGCAAGAAGUGGUAAAGAUCAAUUCUAAAUUCGAGGAGGGAUCACUGCUUGGAGAUUAUCUUUUGAGCUUUCUUAUUUCUCUGUGCGAGAAGCCUUUCUACUACUGGAACGAAAACAUUAUUGAAGAAGCGAUAUAUAAAGAACUCUCAGAGAAAAUAAUAACAUUAUCAUUUUUCCUGACUGGAGAUAUAUUAUACUUUUUGAAUAUUGUUAGCAAACGUCGUAGAAAUAUCAUUCGCAACAGAGUGCAAGAAGGAUAUUUAUAUACUGAAAAUUAUAAGCGUAGUAUGCUUUUUGAAUCAAGUGUUAAUAUAUCGGAUUUGGCCUAUGCUAAUUUUUAUUGUUACAUAAUUACCAAAAAUGAUUAUUGGAAAAAAGCACCACAAAUUUAUAGUGCUUAUUACAUUUUUGAAACAUGCGCAUAUUUUUUUGAAAUUUUGCUUUGCAAAGAGGAAGAUAUUGUAAUUUCAAAUGGAUUAAUUUUUAUGGAAACUGUUAUAAACCGCAUUUCAUCUCGAUCUGUAGAUCCUGAAGUGUUGGGACUAAAAAUAUAUUCAGAUUUAUUUAAACCAAUUAUUAAAAUAAUGAUUUACUGUAAUAGUGAUACAAAUCGAAAGAAGGCAUUAUGUGUUUUUCAAAAAUAUAUCGAAAUAUUCAAUAUGGAAGCUAGAUAUUCUGUUAUCUUAUAUUUGUACAAAAUUAGCGAUCAUUCUGGUUUAUUAAGUUUGAUCAUUAAUAUACUUAAGUCUUCUAUUAUCGAUUGUCUUAACUCAACUCCACAAAAUCCCCAGUUUCUUGGAAAGAAUUUGGAACUGAUGCUGAAAAAGAUUUGUAAUUUGCCAUAUGGAAGUUCGUCAGAUUUAGUGGAGAUAUCAGAUGAAGUUAUUACUGUACUGAAUCUAUUGAGAUUCUUGUUCAUCAGAGAUAAGCAUAAUGAAACGGGUAUUUGGAAUAUUACAGAUAUGCUAGAAAAUGAUUAUUUGAAUCCGUUGAGAGAAGGAAUAGAUUUGUGUAGAGCGCAUUGGAAAGUGAAGAUAAAAGACUUAGAACAACAAAAGAAGAAUUAUAAUAAAAUACACGAUUAUAGUGAGAUGAAAAAGGUUGAAGCGGAAGUCAUAUUAACCAUCGGCGGUGAACAAUUACCGAUGAUGCCACUUCCAAAAAAAAUUUCUUUUUGUUAUCAAGCGAUAAAUGGUCUGGAUGUAAUGGAAAGUGUUCUUAUCCGAGUUAAUGAAUGCAUGGAUAUGGCUCAUAAAGAAUUCUCAUUGAAUGUGCUAAACUAAAAGUAUGAAAUUCAACAAAAUAUUGAUCAUACUUAAUAAUUGUAUACUAUUAAUUUUAUGGGCUUUGCUGAGCGAUCAAUCUGAAAAUGAUAAUAA